Molecule: ribosomal RNA, 500 nt
Filed under: uncultured bacterium
Lineage: Bacteria
Description: partial 16S ribosomal RNA
Rfam family: Bacterial small subunit ribosomal RNA
Source: RNAcentral
AUUGAACGCUGGUGGAAUGCUUUACACAUGCAAGUCGAACGGCAGCACGGACUUCGGUCUGGUGGCGAGUGGCGAACGGGUGAGUAAUGUAUCGGAACGUGCCCAGUCGUGGGGGAUAACGUAGUGAAAAUUACGCUAAUACCGCAUACGAUCUAUGGAUGAAAGCGGGGGAUCGCAAGACCUCGCGCGAUUGGAGCGGCCGAUAUCAGAUUAGGUAGUUGGUGGGGUAAAGGCCCACCAAGCCAACGAUCUGUAGCUGGUCUGAGAGGACGACAAGCCCCACUGGAACUGAGACACGGUCCAGACUCCUACGGGAGGCAGCAGUGGGGAAUUGUGGACAAUGGGCGAAAGCCUGAUCCAGCCAUUCCGCGUGCAGGAUGAAGGCCCUCGGGUUGUAAACUGCUUUUGUACAGAACGAAAAGGUUUCUACUAAUACUAGGAGCUCAUGACGGUACUGUAAGAAUAAGCACCGGCUAACUACGUGCCAGCCGCCGCAGUAA